RNAcentral lists this long non-coding RNA (236 nucleotides) under Prunus persica (peach). RNAcentral's name for it is "long non-coding RNA (PPER_LNC005678)". Lineage: Eukaryota; Viridiplantae; Streptophyta; Magnoliopsida; Rosales; Rosaceae. The record is from RNAcentral.
AAUUAUGUUGUGUGUGUGUUUUUUUUUUUAAUGUUGUGUGUUUACUUUUGGAAUAAAAUUAAAUUUAUGGAAUUUCAAUUUUUUGUUAGGUCAAAUUGUUCAAAAUAUUAAAUUAUGAUGUUAUUUAAAAAGGUUAAAUGAAGAAAAGUUCUCCAUAAAAAAAUAAAUAAAUAAAAAUUAGACUUAAACCAUUUUAAAACAAUUUAAUAAAGUUGCGGACUUAAAAUUUGAGUCCG